AACAAUUAUAUGGGGAACUGUUUGGAUAAGAUGAACUUGGUUGACUGGUUUAAGGGAAUGGUAAUAAGUCGUCGCAGCGAUGAGCUAGUCAAGCAGAUAAAUACAUUUUUCUAGGAUUAGUAUAAGGAUUAAGUUUUUUAUGUACAUAGUAUCAUUUUUUCUUUUCUUUUUUAUAUGGAAUGUUUAUAGAGUUUAAGUGCUAUAAGUAUUUUUUUUCUUUUUCCAUUUUAUUUGCAUCACGAAGCAAAUUUGUACAAUGAUUAUUGAUUAAUGAAAGAGGCUAUAAAAAUUUCAUUU
This is a non-coding RNA of Arachis ipaensis, 297 nucleotides long. The record is from RefSeq and is a predicted model, not a curated record. Lineage: Eukaryota; Viridiplantae; Streptophyta; Magnoliopsida; Fabales; Fabaceae.